UCAGCUCCUCCACCUGAGACACGGUGCAGAGCCUCCACGGGCUCAUCACGGAUGAGCCUUUCCCGUCCAAUGGUGGCAGAACAAUAGCAGCUUUGUCAAAGAACCUAAGUAGCAGAUAUAUAAAAAAGUUCAGAAUGUUCAGAUUACUGACGGAGGUCCUGUGAUGUAAAAUUCUGCCUGUAACUUGUUUUGCAUUUGGCAUUGCGGAUUCAGAUAGUUCCUAAAUGAAACACUGCAAGAAGUGUUGUUCUAAAUCACAGCAAGUGAACAAGAGUAUGUAUGUAAUCCAGAUACCUGAAUUGGUUGGUAUGCUCA
This is a long non-coding RNA of Brachypodium distachyon (stiff brome), 315 nucleotides long. RefSeq lists it as uncharacterized. The transcript has 2 exons. Lineage: Eukaryota; Viridiplantae; Streptophyta; Magnoliopsida; Poales; Poaceae. The record is from RefSeq and is a predicted model, not a curated record.